This 274-nucleotide unclassified non-coding RNA is filed under the name Glomeraceae sp. RNAcentral describes it as "partial contains 5.8S ribosomal RNA and internal transcribed spacer 2". The stretch from base 1 to 72 matches the Rfam family "5.8S ribosomal RNA", at positions 84 to 154 of the family's 154-position model. The record is from RNAcentral. Lineage: Eukaryota; Fungi; Glomeromycota; Glomeromycetes; Glomerales; Glomeraceae.
GUGAAUCAUCAAAUCUUUGAACGCAAAUUGCACUCUCCGGUUUUCCUGGAGAUUAUGCCUGUUUAAGGGUCAGCCUAAAAAAAAUCGACAUUGUUGCUGUUUUAUGGUGACUUUCGUCGGAGAUGUGUUAUCUUAGAUCUCGGUUUAAGCGGCUUAAAAAUUUUUUUUACGAUUCUAAGAAUGUUUCUAAUAUUUUUCUUGUACGUUUAAGGUAUCGAAUGUCUUAUUACACGUAUCCGUCAUAUCGUAUCGCUUCCAUAAUCUUUCACUAACU